RNAcentral lists this transfer RNA (72 nucleotides) under Toxocara canis (dog roundworm). It matches the Rfam family "tRNA". From Rfam's summary of the family: Transfer RNA (tRNA) molecules are approximately 80 nucleotides in length. Their secondary structure includes four short double-helical elements and three loops (D, anti-codon, and T loops). Further hydrogen bonds mediate the characteristic L-shaped molecular structure. tRNAs have two regions of fundamental functional importance: the anti-codon, which is responsible for specific mRNA codon recognition, and the 3' end, to which the tRNAs corresponding amino acid is attached (by aminoacyl-tRNA synthetases). tRNAs cope with the degeneracy of the genetic code in two manners: having more than one tRNA (with a specific anti-codon) for a particular amino acid; and 'wobble' base-pairing, i.e. permitting non-standard base-pairing at the 3rd anti-codon position. The record is from Rfam by way of RNAcentral. Lineage: Eukaryota; Metazoa; Nematoda; Chromadorea; Rhabditida; Toxocaridae.
GCGGCAGUAGCUCAGUGGUAGAACCUCCGCUUCGCAUGCGGGGAGACCUGGGUUCGAUUCCCUGCUGCUUCC